This is a long non-coding RNA of Serinus canaria (Common canary), 1233 nucleotides long. RefSeq lists it as uncharacterized. The record is from RefSeq and is a predicted model, not a curated record. Lineage: Eukaryota; Metazoa; Chordata; Aves; Passeriformes; Fringillidae. The transcript has 5 exons.
ACCAACUAUGAGGACACAUGGUUGACAGUGUUGUUCUAAAAAGACUAAUUAUGAAUUCACUAAGUACAAAAAAAACUCCAGGAUAUAUUUGCCUUAAUAUCAUUCUGAAACAUUUCUAAAUUUAAAUUUCUAUGUAUACAUAUUUUAUUGCCUCUUCAUCUAAAUAAUUUUAACACUUAAAAACUAAACAUACCUCUUUUCUUUUCUCAUUCAUGUUUUUUCUGAAUAACCAUAUAUAACAGUCUUAAAACCAGUAAAUUGGGUGGAGGUCACCAUGGGGUAUCAGUAAGAAGCUGUAGUCUGUGAUUGGUCAGAAAAGGUGGAAAUGGAAUGUGAAAGUAGUCAACAAAAAUGUAGCCCUUUCCCUGAAGAGGCAUUGGCAUGAGAGUUUACAAAGGGAGAGGGAUAAAGCUUCCAGGACAGGAGUUAAGUAACAUUCUACUUUUCUCUCUCUGGCCUGUGGGGAAGGAAAGUCCAAAAUGGAAUCUCUGCCUCUUCAGCUGUGACAACAGCAAGCCCAGGAGUGAGAAAAGUCAGCCACAAAUGUCCUCUACCCUCAUCACAGGGUCUGCCCAUAGUAUCUGCUUGCAGAACCUGAGAGUGGGAGACCACACAUCAGUGCUGCCACAGGGCUGGUACCCCUACCACUGCCUGGCUCUAGAAGAAAUAAGAAGCAAGGUGGACAGAAUCUCAGUUUGUGCAAAUGAGGUAGAUCCACGGUGGUGAAAGCAGCUCUCACCUUACCUGUGCAUCUUGACUUAUGUUACUGCAACUUUAUGGCUGCCAAGACCCCAGAAAUGCUAGUUAACUUCACUGGGAAUGCUGAAGCAACUCCACAAAAAAUGAGCUGCAAAUCUAGAAGAGAAAAUAUUUUGGAAAGAAGAGCAAAACCCUAGACUGAGACAGAAGAGUCUCAGGUUGGUUGCAAGGAAGCAUCAUCAUUUUCCAGGCAAAGAAACUGUCUUGUUUAUUGGGUCUUCAAGCAGCUCAUUUUAAAUUCAAGGAGGAUCAGAACACUAGCAACCCAUUUCCUCCUGGUCCAGCUAUCAACUUGAGUUUCUCUGUGGCUGCUGCUACCACAGUGUCUGGCGCUGAAAGAGUCUCCUUUGCAAGUCAGCUCUGUGAGAAACAUCUCUGUCAUUCGACACAGAACAGAUCCCAGAUAUUGAAAAGCCUGGGGGCUCACACAACAGUUCAAUGAAAUCUCAGCAAGGAAAAUAAGUAAGUAUUUAC